GAUGAACGCUGGCGGCGUGCCUAAUACAUGCAAGUCGAGCGAACGGACGAGAAGCUUGCUUCUCUGAUGUUAGCGGCGGACGGGUGAGUAACACGUGGAUAACCUACCUAUAAGACUGGGAUAACUUCGGGAAACCGGAGCUACUACCGGAUAAUAUUUUGAACCGCAUGGUUCAAAAGUGAAAGACGGUCUUGCUGUCACUUAUAGAUGGAUCCGCGCUGCAUUAGCUAGUUGGUAAGGUAACGGCUUACCAAGGCAACGAUGCAUAGCCGACCUGAGAGGGUGAUCGGCCACACUGGAACUGAGACACGGUCCAGACUCCUACGGGAGGCAGCAGUAGGGAAUCUUCCGCAAUGGGCGAAAGCCUGACGGAGCAACGCCGCGUGAGUGAUGAAGGUCUUCGGAUCGUAAAACCCUGUUAUUAGGGAAGAACAUAUGUGUAAGUAACUGUGCACAUCUUGACGGUACCUAAUCAGAAAGCCACGGCUAACUACGUG
Molecule: ribosomal RNA, 497 nt
Filed under: uncultured bacterium
Lineage: Bacteria
Description: partial 16S ribosomal RNA
Rfam family: Bacterial small subunit ribosomal RNA
Source: RNAcentral